UGAUGGACUAUCCCUUAGAUUUCUGCAAAAAACUUGUAUUCGAAAUUCUUAAUAUUUUAUAUUUUUUUAAAUAAUAAUAUAUUAAUAAAAAUAAUAAUAUUUUAUGAUUACGAAAACGGGCCGGAUUAUUAACGGAUCGGAUCGACCUAAAUUCGUAUUUGAUCCGUUAAAUAAACGGGUUAAUGGAUUUGGAUCAUUAACGGAUAACGGAUCAAAAUUUUUGAUCCAAACCCAUCCAAUAGCCACGGAUCUGGAGCGGGUCCAAAUCAAAAUCCGGUCCAUUUACAGGUCUACCUACAUGAAUUUGAAUAACAUCCAGAUGCUUACUGGAUCAAACUUUAAGGUAGGGGUGGGCAAAAAACCAAUUUGGACUAAAAAACCGGCCGAACCAGACCGGAAUUCCGGUUCGGUAACCGAACCGCUUGCAAAAAACACUGAAAACUGCAUUUACCGAACCGAACCUGAUCUUUUCGGUUCUGACCCGGUUUUGUCACUUAAACCGACCGGAGAAAACCGAACCGCCCGGAUUAAAAAUAUAUGUAUAUUUUUUUAAUGUGCUGUCGAAUUUUUAGUGGGUAAGGCUUAUUUCGGGUGCACCUUACCACACACGAUCUUAACACCUAUAUAAAAGCUAACAACCCUAGAAGCUUUUCUCAUUUCCUCACCUCAUCCCUCUCUCUAGCGGUCUCAGCCGCUUCUCUCUCACGUCUCAAACUCUCAGCCCUCUCUCACCCUUUUCUCUCGCACCCUCUUCUAUCUCACGCUGUCAACAUGAGGUCCACCGCGUCCACUACGUCAUCCACCGCAGCCUCUCGUAUCCAAAGAGAAUUAAUAAAACCUUUGGCAAGAAAUAUAUAGGCGAUGGUGAUGUUAACCUACAGAUUCCAAAUGGGAGCACUUGGCCAGAUCAAAUGAUUUAUUGUUUAUAAUAGUCUGCAAAUUUGGGCUAAUAAGCUCAGAAAAUAAUAAUCGGCAAAUCUGAGCUAUUAAGCUGAGAAAAUACCAAUUCAUGAAUCUCACGAGUUAGUUCAUGAAUUUUACUUUGGGACAAAAAAGAAAAUACCAAUGUUAGAAAACUGGUAUAGUAUUUGUUUGUUCUUUUAAUACUUUUGCUAAAUACAAAAUUGGGCUUGAAAAUGGCUUGAAAUUGGGCAAAAAAGCAGGUAAAACCGUAAAACGUAAAGACGUAAAACUUGGGCCUUCAAAUUGGUCCAAAAAUGAAGGCAACUUAAAAGGAAAAAUGGGCCAAAAUUGAAAGUUCGGCCCAACCGGAAACUGAACCGGGCGGACCCGAAAAUUUAGCCCAACCGAAUACUCGGCCCACUCAUUUGUUAUUCGGUUGUCGGUUUGAAAUUGGGCCCAACCGACUACUUCGGGUCGGAAACGGUUUGGGCUUCAAACCGAACUGGCCCGACAUAUGCCCAGCCCUACUUUAAGGCCUGGAGGAGUGGUGUAGAGUUCUAUCUCAUGAUGCAUGAAAAUAUGGACUUAUGUUUUACUGAUGUCAAUAGCUCACCUGAUGGAAAGAAAUAUUAUCGAGAUUGGCAUAGAGCAAAUUAUAGAGCUAAGAAUGUGAUGAGGACUACCAUGAUUGAUACUGUGAGGGGUAGCAUAGAUGAACCAGCCUUAGCAGUUGACUAUAUGGAUGCCAUACCCGAGAAAUUCAAAGAGAGCAAUAAGGCUGAGGCAGCAAGGUUCUCUAAAGAGAUGAAUGAGCUAAAAUAUACUGGUAAUGGAGGAGUUAGGCAACACAUUUUGAAGCUCACUGAGUUAAAUGCUAGACUCAGGGAUCUCGAUAUGGGAGUUAAGGAUGACCAACUUGUUCACAAUGCCUUAGAUUCUCUGCCACCUAGCUUCAAUACCUUGAGAACUAGCUACAAUGCACAGAAGGAGAACUGGACCUUGAAUGAGUUAAUAGCUAUUUGCGUGGAUGAGGAGAGUAGAAUGAAGAAAGAGAAGCAGCCCUCCACCUCUGUCAACUUAGUUGAGAAGCCAAAGAAACAGAACAAGCUCAAGCCUAAGAAAAUACUGCAGUAGCUAAAGUCAACAAGCCAUUUAAGUUCAAGUACUACUUUUGCAAGAAGGUAGGACACAUGAAGAAGGACUGUGCAGGUUUUAAGGCAUGGCUUGUGAAAAAGGGGAUUCAUAAGGAAGUGGAAGCCAAGAAGUGAUGAAGCUAACAUCUGCGUUGGGAAUGCAUGGAAUGAAGGUUGCAGUCAAGGCAGUAGGAUCUUAAAACUAGAUUUGGGAUUAGGAAAUUUUAUGGUUUUAGAUAGUGUUUAUUAUAUUCCCUCAAUUAAGAGGAAUUCGCUUUCAGUUAGUCUUUUG
Long non-coding RNA from Rosa rugosa (rugosa rose), 2328 nucleotides. RefSeq lists it as uncharacterized. NCBI's taxonomy places the organism in Eukaryota, Viridiplantae, Streptophyta, Magnoliopsida, Rosales, Rosaceae. The record is from RefSeq and is a predicted model, not a curated record. The transcript is spliced from 3 exons.